Molecule: ribosomal RNA, 253 nt
Filed under: uncultured bacterium
Lineage: Bacteria
Description: partial 16S ribosomal RNA
Rfam family: Bacterial small subunit ribosomal RNA
Source: RNAcentral
UACGAGAGGUGCAAGCGUUAUUCGGAAUUAUUGGGCGUAAAGGGUGCGUAGGCGGUUUGUUAAGUUUGUUGUUAAAUACUUUGGCCUAACUGAAGAACAGCAACGAAAACUGGCAAACUAGAGGGUGAAAGAGAGAAGUGGAAUUCCCGGAGUAGCGGUAAAAUGCGUAGAUCUCGGGAGGAACACCAAUGGCGAAGGCUGCUUCUUGGUUCACUACUGACGCUGAGGCACGAAAGCGUGGGGAGCAAACAGG